Molecule: long non-coding RNA, 1657 nt
Organism: Oncorhynchus gorbuscha (pink salmon)
Lineage: Eukaryota; Metazoa; Chordata; Actinopteri; Salmoniformes; Salmonidae
Exons: 6
Source: RefSeq, a predicted model, not a curated record
AUUGGCAGUUACUGGUGCCAGUGUCCUGCUGGAUUUACUAACUUUGGCAAAAACCAAGCUAAGUGUGUAGAGCUUAAUUGUGACCAGUACGAAACACAGCCUGGACAGACUCUACCAGGCUUUGAUAGUUUAUUUUCUCUGUUGAGAAACAACUGUUUGGUGUUGAGCAACUCUAUGUUGCCUGGACCGACAAGACUGCUGCCAACUGGAGAUGUGCUUUUGACAGUAAGUCACCACACAGAAACACAUGCAAAAACACACACACACACACGUACAAAACCCUCAUGUGUCUCUUCUCUAGUUACUGGUUAAUACCACUUAUGUUGUUCAACUGGGCCUCCAGUCCAAUGGUCACCGUAGUAGCAGUGAAGUGACUAAGUUACUGAGGACGAUUGAAAUCUCUAUCAGACUGAUCGCUCCACUGCUGACAGAGAACGUGACCAGGAUAAAGACCAACCACACAGGUAACACACACACACUGAGCACAUAUUUACAAUGGGGCGGCAGGUAGCCUAACGGACGUUGGAACAGUAACCGGAAGGUUGCUGAAUCGAAUCCCCGAGCUGACAAGAUAAAAAUCUGUCGUUCUGCCCCUGAGCAAGGCAGUUAACCCAUUGUUCCAUGGGCGACGAAGACGUGGAUGCCGAUUUAAGGCAGCUGCCCGCACCUCUCUGAUUCAGAAGGGUUGGGUUAAAUGCAGAAGAUACAAUUCAGUUGAAAACAUUCAGUUGGACCACUGACUAGAGGUUGAGAUUAUGGUGAGAAGAGACAAGACUUCACCUGAAGGACCAGUCAGCCUGACCAAUGAGAACACUCAACUUGACACCACCUGGGAGACGGUGGUUGGAGAUGACCAGAAUUACCCAGCCAUAAGAAUCUGGAUAGUCUGAAGGACAGUACUUCUCAUCAGAGCCAGCAGCUCAUGUCCAGUGCUGUGACAGUUUCCGUUAGCAACUCCAACACAACAUACCUGCCCCAACAGGUUAAUCUCACCUUCAAUCACCUGCAGGGAAGCGGGCAGCUGUCUUUGGUGAUGUGGGUGGGUGUUUUUGUGGCACUGACCUGUGUGGUCCUGUCCCUGAUCACCACCCUGUGGUGUCGCUUUGUCAGCCGCAAACGUCGUGGAGGACACCGGCUGCAACAUGAUGUACAGCUACAUAGAAAAUAAGACAUGGAUUUGAACUAUUUGUGUUCUAAGAAAAGCUUUACUUGCAAGGACAUCCAAAUGCCAUCAAUUCUUUUUUUAAGUAGUAUGAAAAUGUAUCAAACAAACAAAAAUAUAAGAACACAACUUUAUGUUAAUAGAUAUACAAUAUCUCAUGUGUAGAACUGUUAUCAGUUCUGGAGUGUAACAGAUGAGCUCUCAUCUCUAUGGCAACAUACAUAAGUCAUUUCAGUCUCAUAAACAUGGUUUGUAAUUUGUAGAGAUGAGAAUAGUGGUAUAUCCACUCAAUGAAGCAUUUGUCCAGUAUUAUGCCACUUGGUUGUUGUUGUAACUGAGUUAUUUGAAGUGAAAGUAGAUUUUUCCUGUUUAUUAUACAGUACUUGAGAAGGUAUUUUAAUCCAAAAAUCAUCUCGCUAUUAUUUCCUCCAUUCUGAUAUAAAUAUCUAAAUAUGAGUUGUCCGUUUCUUAAAAAAUAAAGCACAACAUCAUACU